RNAcentral lists this unclassified non-coding RNA (294 nucleotides) under Hevea brasiliensis (rubber tree). The record is from RNAcentral. Lineage: Eukaryota; Viridiplantae; Streptophyta; Magnoliopsida; Malpighiales; Euphorbiaceae.
CAAUCCUGUGGAAUAGAAACAGAUAACACAAAAGUUCUAUAGGAUGGGGAUAAUGAGUCAUUAGACAUAAAAUUAGAAAUGGGAUGCUUGGUAUAACCUCUGACUCCUUCUUAAGGCAAUAGGGAUAUCAAGAUCAGAAUGAUUAGAAUUAGGAUUAGAACUAGUAGUAAUAUAAGGAGACUCAUUGCAUACCUUAGGAUGUCCAGGGUCUGAAUCCGAGAAUUCUGAUUGAUCAGGAGUAUCAUGCUCAAUGGCCUCAUCCAUUCUGUUCCGACGAGUGUAGGUUCUCAAAUC